UUAAAAUAGUUUAAAAAAAAUAUUGAUUUGUGGAAUCAAAGAUUUAGUGUUAUUUUAAUUU
This 61-nucleotide transfer RNA is filed under the name Cacopsylla pyri (pear psyllid). Its description in RNAcentral is "tRNA-His". The record is from RNAcentral. Lineage: Eukaryota; Metazoa; Arthropoda; Insecta; Hemiptera; Psyllidae.